This 515-nucleotide ribosomal RNA is filed under the name [Eubacterium] saphenum. RNAcentral's name for it is "bacterial SSU rRNA". It matches the Rfam family "Bacterial small subunit ribosomal RNA", at positions 371 to 905 of the family's 1533-position model. Lineage: Bacteria; Bacillati; Bacillota; Clostridia; Peptostreptococcales; Anaerovoracaceae. The record is from RNAcentral.
AUGGGGGAAACCCUGAUGCAGCAACGCCGCGUGAGGUAUGAAGGCCUUUGGGUUGUAAGCCUCUGUCCUAGGGGAAGAAAAAAAUGACGGUACCCGAGGAGGAAGCCCCGGCUAACUACGUGCCAGCAGCCGCGGUAAUACGUAGGGGGCAAGCGUUAUCCGGAAUUAUUGGGCGUAAAGAGUGCGUAGGUGGUCUACUAAGCGCGAGGUGAAAGGCAAUGGCUCAACCAUUGUUAGCCUUGCGAACUGGCAGACUUGAGUGCAAGAGAGGAAAGCGGAAUUCCUAGUGUAGCGGUGAAAUGCGCAGAUAUUAGGAGGAACACCGGCGGCGAAGGCGGCUUUCUGGAUUGUAACUGACACUGAGGCACGAAAGCGUGGGUAGCAAACAGGAUUAGAUACCCUGGUAGUCCACGCCGUAAACGAUGAGCACUAGGUGUCGGGACAUGAGUCUCGGUGCCGCAGUUAACGCAAUAAGUGCUCCGCCUGGGGAGUACGCACGCCAGUGUAAACUCAAG